RNAcentral lists this long non-coding RNA (5484 nucleotides) under Chinchilla lanigera (long-tailed chinchilla). RNAcentral's name for it is "lncRNA (ENSCLAG00000026393.1)". Lineage: Eukaryota; Metazoa; Chordata; Mammalia; Rodentia; Chinchillidae. The record is from RNAcentral.
GCAUGUGAGCCCUGGUGUGGGGACCGGGGCUGGAAUUCCUCUCCCGUGUAAAAUGGAGUCAACGAUAGUCCCGCCUUGUAGGGUCAUUGUUACAGAACAAGGAUCAUGGUGAGCACUCAAUGAAAAUGGCUGCUGAGAUGUCCCCUAGGGGCCACCAACAAACUUGGUGACACUCACAGGCCAUCACUCUAGCUCACAUGGACUCAAAACAUGGAGCCCCUGGGCAGGGCUCUUUCUUACCCCUCCCAGACCACACAGUACCCACCUGAGGGUGUUGCUCAUUGUGUCCUCAGGGUCCUCCAGGUCUUCCCACUCACUGUCACUCCCAUGACUCCUUUCCAGUGGCCAGGACUCUGGACAAGCAUGCCCAGAACAGAACUGUGGCAAUGGAAUGGUCCCCGAAUCCACCUCCAAACAGUCUCCACAGGGCAGCUGGCCUUCGGACGUACAGUGGAUGCUCAGGUACUCUUCAUCCUCCCAGUAAGGCUCAGCUUUCUCUGCCUCUCUAGCAUCAGGCUCCACCCUACUGUCCCAUUGACCCUAGGAGUGCAGCUGGAAGCUCUGGGCCUCUGCUCCUAUGAGCUGCACUUAGCUUUUGGAGGGUCAGUUUGCAGCAGUUCCAAGACCUCAAGGUAGAGAAGACCAGGGCACUGCAGAUCUGAAGCACCAACGGUAAGCCCUAGCUAGAGAUAUGUGUUUAACUGUUGUCAGAGAGGGAUUGUGGUUGGGGAGGUGAGUUGUUCUGGAACCCUGGAGGUGUGUGAGAGAACCCUGCAAAGGCAGCAUUCAGACCUCUGCCUGCCAUAGGCCCUGCUGUGUGUUAGGCUACCACUGGUCCUGGCUGGGCUGCGCCUUACCCUUUCCACCCAGCCAGCUUCUGUCCUCACGAGCUGCUCUCAUCACAGAUGGCCUGGCACCUACAUUUGAGUUAAACCUUUAGUCUUCUAAGCAUCCCUUGAUUUCCAGGCACAGUGGCCUUCUGAGAAUGGGUCUGGUCAGUUUAGGUCCAUUUCAAGGACUCUUGCUUUACUUCACCUUCUUAAGUGACCACAAAGACUUACAUUAUUACUUUUACAGAAUGAUACUUGGUGAAUUUACAUGUAUUUUACUUACAUGGAGUCAACUCUAUAUGAGAGAGAGAAAGAGGGAGAAAGAAAUGACUUUAAAUGUUCUGCAAUGACCAGCUUUCCACUUACUGGAUACACACCCUAAACACGUGGGAGCAGGGAAACUUCCACCUCCUCAGGCAGUCUCAGCUCCUGGAUAUACAUUUUACAAAGAGCACAUCCCAUAAAUACAAGCCUUUAGAUUUUUAACUAGGGUUCAACCAAUGAAAAAAUGAUUUGCUCCCAUACCUGGGAAGCAUAUAGCAUCAUACUAUCCAAAGUGAUGUUCAGGGGUAACGUGCCUUAAUGUGAUUUUCACCUCCUACCCAAACUUUAGAAAUUAACCUUGCAUAAGCUGCAUCCCAGCCAAGCUGUCCUCAUAACAGGCACACAGUCCCAAGUUUCCUCCACGACAUAUACUAUACACUACUUCUCUAUAAUGCCAUGCUUUGUAAGGAUCUACUGCUCCUUGAUUUUUAAAAAUCACUAGGAAUAGAAUUUAGAAGAAAAUGAGAAAUAAAAAGUAAAAUGCAAUCUUCUCCAAGCAUACUCUGGCUUUUCUAGGGUGCUGGCAGCCAUCUGGUGUUAGGAAGUAGCCACCUGGCAGAUCGUACGUUCUGGCAGUUGGAUGGGAAUUUCAAUUGAUGGGACCUGUCCUUUAGCUAGAAAUAGCACAGGAAAGGGAAUGCAUACAGACUUGUGUUGAGUCCUACUGUGUGCCAGGUGCCGAAAUGUGUUUUUCUUUUGACCUACACAGUGACUUGUGGAAUGGCCAUGGUCCUUGUUUAUAACUAGGAAGGGACAUCAGCUCUCCAGGGACACCACUCAGUUGCAAAUGUGAAAACAAGCUCUGUGAUCCUGAAGUUCCUGCUCUGUUUAUUCUAAACUGCACAAAGUGAUUUGACUCAGAUGUUAGAAUCAAAGAGGUUGUUGGUCUCAGAAAGCCAGCUGAGAACUGCGGACACAUCUAGGGAGGUCUGACAGAGCCAUUACCCCACUCUGUCAUUCUAGUUCCAAACCUAAACAAGAGUGGGGACUGUCUUGGGUGACUGCUGGGCAAGUGCCAUGCUUUCUUUCCUGUGGGGGUGAUCACUAGCCACAUGCAUGUGGAGCACAGGCUAAUGUCCUGUUGGAGGAGCUCUCAGAGUUUGAGUCCUCCUUUGGGGGGUGUGGAAAGAUUGCUGAGUGGGAAAGAGAGAAUAGGGUAAAAAUAAAGCCAAGAAGUGCACAGAAAAGUUGCUGCCCAUGGCUGCAUGUACCACAGCUGAAGAUCAGAGGCUCCACUAGAAUGUUCUGGACAACUUUAAUGCCUCUCUUGUGUGACCCUCCAAAGGGAGACCUUUCCAAGAAUGACAGAUUUUGGACAUCUGGUACACCCUGGCAAGUAAGAACACCAAGCAAAAUUUAAUUUGAUUCAGAAAAACUAAAUAAUGUGAUUAUUUUUGCCAAAAAAAUGACAAAAAAUAAGUAGAUGACAUAAGAAGGUGGAUUUCACCUUAAUAUAAGGAAGCAUUUUCUGAUCAGUGACUGCAUGGUGAUAAAAUAGGUCACCUCAAGUGGGACUGAGCUCUGCGUGCCUGGAAUUAUUUGAGCAAAUGCCAGUAUUUCUUAAGAGCAGGAUGUUACAGUGCAUGGAGUACGAGGUUAGGUUCAACCAUUUGACACUGAACAGCCUGAUAUUCCAUGGCACCAGGAAUGAAGCAUUUCUUACAUAUGCUGAUGGUUACUAAAUAACAAUAUUAAUAAUAAUAUCUGCUUUAAGUAACUAUUGAGUGUACUGGAAUAUAGAGACAGUGAAGAAUCCAGAGCCACUUUGUAAUUCAGCAGUCAGGGUCCCUGUUCAUCCUCCCAAACUAUCUGGUAGCAAAAUCUUUAAAAAUACAAACAAAUGUUUCCUUGUCUGCAGGAAGAGAGAGUUUGUAUAUGUCCUAUAUGGUUGUCCUUGGAUAAAUCCCUGUAGGUUAUUCACUUUAUUAUUUUGUUAAGUGUAUCAAGCACUACCUAGAGUGCACUCUUAAAGGCAGCAAUAAAUACACUGAUGUUUCUAGUCACUAUCAGAUGAUGGAAAUGAGAAUCACUGAUGGAUGUGCUUGCCCACCCUGUUCUACUGCACAAAUUUGUGCAUUGUUUGGCUGGUGCAUUGUUCUUCUAGAGCUUGUAUCUGGAUGCUUCCAGAAGUGUGUGCCUGGUUCCUGUUUGUCACAGUUCUUCUCCCAGGGCCCCAUUAUCUAACACUCACCACUGCUGCAUGAGUGCCCUCUGUGUCCAUGGGGAGGAGUUCCAGGACCCCCUCAGUUACCCAAGUCCCCAGAUGCUGGAGUCCCUUACAUAAAAUGUAGCACAUAUUUGUGUACAACCUACACACACCCUACUAUAUUUUUUAAAUCAUCCUUAGAUUACUUAUAAUUCUAAAUAUAGUGGGAAUGUUAUAUAAACAGUUGUCACAUUGUGUUAUUUAGGGGUAAUGACAAAAAAUCUGUAGAUGUUAAAUCCAGAUGCAGUUUUUCUUCUAAUAUAGUCAAUCUAUGGUGGCUUGGAUCCACAAAUGUAGACCCCACGGGUCCAGUCCCUACGAAUCUGCUCUAGUCACUUGCCUAGGAUGGCCACCAAAUAGGAGCAAUUUGAUCCCAGCAGGUUUGUACAGUGACAAACACAAAUGACACUGGCCUGUCUUGAGCCCAUGCAUUGAGCUAGCAAAUGCUUAAAAGCAGCAGCUGAGCCUGCAUUUGUACCCGUCUCUCUGCUCCUAACAGGUUUCCAAGCACAUUGGGUAUACAUCAUAGACACUGUUUAGAGUGAACUGAGGAUUAUGCUUGUCAGACAACAGGACCAGAAACUAGAAACACUUAAGGGUGAAUGGACACAAAAAUAUAGGCUAAAUGAAAAAAUGGUUAUUAAAGUGAAGGUUUCAGUCUGGGUUUGAAGGUGUAAAUGUAUUUUUAACGCUUUAUUAGCACAAAAAAUGAGGAUGCAUACUACAACUGCUUUCAUACCACAGUGGUUUAAAAGGCUGUGAUGGUGCAGGAUAAAGGUCUGCAUGCUGGGAAAGCACUCCAGAUCUGCCAUCUGCAGCCUGAAAAACAUCCUGGGGACAAUCAUGGCCUGGCUGGGGUUUGUUUCCCCAAAGCUCACAAGUUGUGGAUGCAGCAACUCAGACCUAUGCUCCUCUGUUUCUGCCUCUCCCCCAAGAGCCCAGAAACACUGCUGGGCACAGGACACAUCUGGGUAUAGUCACUGAUUACUUCCUGGUAAUCAUCUAGCAAUGCAAUAUACACAAUUUAUAAAAUGUCUGCAAAGUCGCAAGGCUUACCUGCUAAGUCUCCUGAUGUCACACACAGAAUAGCAGUUCUGCCUCAUAUCCUGUUCCAAAGGGGUAGCCAGGGGUGACACCUCUGAAUCUUUGUGACGCUGGCAUAAGUGAUGGGACUGCAGGGGAAGUGCCAAGGACUUGGCCCAGGGUCUGUCCCUGUCUUGACUCCCUUGCGCCCCUCCAAGAGCCAGGCCUUCUCCUGCAUCUAGGGAGGUGCUGUCCCUCCAGCUGUCCUCCUGAUCCAGGCUGGGGCUCUGCUCUGAAUCUGUACAUGUCGUCCUGGUGAAUUCUUUGCCCAUCGGUGUCUAUUAAAAGAAAAGCUAAUGGUUACUGCCUCUAUAGUCACACUAGGAAAGCUCUAAAGCUUGCUUCUUCAAGAAAUGAAAAGUUAUUUUUUAUGUUAUUGUAGAUCAGAGCAAAUAAGAGAUAGACUUGGGGUCAGCUACUCUCCAUCAGCUCCCCACAGACUUCCUGGACCCCAGGGAGUGAAACACAUGGCUCUUCCCCCAAACGUGACUUGAUUUUCCUCUACUCUUCACAGCCUUGUUGGUGCUGCGGUUCUGUCUCCGAGGCCCUGCUGCAACUUGCUAGUGCUGCAAAAUGCUAUGCAGCACCACAACCUGCAUUUCCUUGGACACCGGGCUUUGUCCCCAGCUCAUCGUUCUCAGCUUUCUGAUUCCAGCCACAAGCAUGGUCUUACAGCUAUUUCACAACUCAAGAGAUAAUUAUGUUCUUUGAAAUCUCUUUUGAACCAAUUUUAGCAUCUGCCUGCUUCCCUGUGUGAAUGAGUUUUAAAAAAUCUUUAGCAUGUAUUCCUAUUUAUAACUCUACAGAGUAAUGACUUUAUCUUCUCCUAGAAACUGAGCUGGCACUUCCAUCCCAUCAUCCACAUCCAGGUAUAACAGAGGCAUCUUCACUCUUGGCACCCAUGGAGGGACAUGCUCACAAAACGCACACUCACUUAAUUGUAAAUUGUAAACAUGGCUCCACGGAUAGACUGUGUACAUACCAAAGAACAUACCAAAAAUUAAAAUUUAAAAUAAAUGACAUAAAAAGUAGAGAAAGAGC